CCAUAUCCAGAUAAUGGAAGACAAUUCUCUCUUUUUUUCCUUCUCUAAUUUUCAUGCGAAGAUGUUUUAGGAGGAGGAGGAGGGAAGAAGAUGAAGGAGAGGAACUAAGAUGAAGAUAUUGAUGCGCCUCAAUUGAAAGGCAUGGUUAUGGUAAUAUUGCAAGUUUUUAGAGAUCGAGUAGCCAUGUGAUUUGAUUGAGCCGCGUCAAUAUCUCCUUUUUUUAUUGACGUCUCUUUUUCCUAUCUUGCUCUCUUUCUCUAUCAAGCUUCCACAUGAACCCUAAUCUUGUAAUCUUCUUCUGUCACGAUUGGUUGGGAGAAUCCCAAUAAAUAGUAAAGUCUGUUCAUUUAUUUAUAUUAAUUUUUAUAUAUACGUGUUGUUGUAAUAAUUUUAUGUAAAAGUUCCCUAUUUUCUCUCUUCUUCCCACACUUCAAUCUAAGAAAUGCUUCAGAGAUGAAGGUGAGGAGUGAAGGAAAAAGGAAGAUGGGACAAUUCCCUCUUAAUUCUUCAUCUUAGAUAGAUAGAUAAAAAAAAAAAAAAAACUAUAUCAAAAAGUUCAAAUUAAUAUAUAUAUUUUUUCAAAUUUGAUCCCUAAUCCAAUUCUACAGUUAGUCUUUAAUCUUUUAAAAUUCUCAAAUUUUCUCUUCAUUUUAUUAAAAACUCUCAAUUAGAUCAUUGGAUAGAAAAAUUUGUUAAUUAAAAAUUAAUUAUGUAUCAUUAAAUCAUUGAUUUAUUAACAUAUUUAUAUCUAUUGACUCGAUGAACAUAUCACUUGAAUACUACUUUGAUACUUAGAGUACACCUAAAAUCUAACAUGCUCACAAGAAAAAUCUAAACUCCAAACAUUUUCAAUGCAAAUUAUUAACAAAAAUUUGUUAUGAGACUUGAUUUUGAGAACUUUUAUAAGUGCAUUAGAGUUAAAAUUGAGGUUCUUUUGUAGACUUUUGAUUAUGACGGCCCUAUAUGGUAUGGUCCUCAAUUUUUGUAUUUAUUAUAAGUCGGACAAGAAGUUAUACGUUUGAUGGAAAUUGCGUCCCAUGGAUUUGGAUCCAAGACCUAAAGGUUAUUCCUUAAAGUCCCAAACCACUCAAGUUAUCCCUUGAAACUUUUUCUGAUUUGUUAUUUUGGCCAAUCUAACGAAAGAGACAUUUAUUACAUAUAAUAAGCUUAAAAAUUGAUGAGACUAAAAUGGAAAAAGAAGAGAGUACAUUAUACUAUUCCACCCAAAAAUCUAGAUUUUCAUCUAACUUAACACAACUAUUCUAUUCUGUGUGAAUAAUUGACUGUUAGCAGGUGUUGGAUUUGAACUUUAUUUCCAUUCGGCGAAGUCAAAAUUUACUUGGUGAAAAAGCCUGCCACAAAAUGGUACACUUUAAAUAACUGCUUCUUUGUUCUUCUCUUUGGGUGUGAUGGAAUCUCAAUUUUUCCCCGUCGGCAAAGGACAAGAGGGGACUGUGUCUGUGUUGGCUACUGUGUUUUGUUUGAUAUUAAAAGAGAGAAAACAGAGCCAUUUAUUAUAACAUUUUAAUGCCCCUUUGGCUUCUUUCCCACCCAUCGCAUUCACUGGACCCACUCCCCUCCACACAAACUUGAUGUAUUUUAGGUCAUAUUUCAACUUUUAGGUUGAGUUAGGUUUGUGAUACAAAAAUCAAAAUUUAGAACCAUGAGAUGGGACGAAACGGAGUUGUAUUCCGUGUUCGAUAUCGAAAUUAAAUUUCACUUUCUCAAUAAUUAGAUUCUAUAAAAUAUGUUAUAAGAAGAUAAAACGAGAUCAGAUUGGAUGAGCAGAAGACAGUAAGGAGGUCGAAUUAAAUCCGCCGACGACUCGGGUCGGCGUCAAGAAUCCCGAUGGUUCUCUCUCGACCCCGUGCAGCCUGAUCUGAAUUUACCUUGUCUCGACCCUAGAUUCAUUACAAGACACAGAGGCACGGGAUCUCUUGGGCACACUACCAUUCAAUCAUUCAACUUUGAUAAUUCCUAAAAGGAAGGAUAAGCCAACUCACAAUACCCUACGUUUAUAUUCAACUACUAUCCUAACUUAAACAAGUCUUGUCGAUCCUUUUAUUUUAAAAAAUUGGUGCGAAUAUUGACGAAAUUCUAUGAAAUCAAAUUUCUACAGCAACAGAAUCAAAAUACUAGUUUCAAAAUUGACCCACUAAGUAGAAAUUUAUUGCAAUAAAUUGAAUCAAGAUAGGAUACGAAACAUAUCUACCUUUUCGUUUAAAUUCUUCGUCGGGGUCUCGAAAACUUUGAUAAAUCAUUUGUUUUGAAAAAUGGUUACUUGGGGACGGGUUGAAAAGUAGGGAGUAAUGUGUGUAUUUGGGUGGGAAAGCUGCCUUUUUUUGCGAUGACUUUGGUUUUGGGAUGUGAUGUUUUUUUUUCUUUUUUGAAAUUUUGAAGGAAAUGGAAGUGAGUCUCUUGUAGAAUCAACCAAAGUGGGGAUUUCUUUCUUUUUUUUUUUUUGGAUGUUGAUUUAUUGAUGAGUUUAUUACGUAAGAAGCACGUCGUUUUAGUUUCUUUCUUAUCAUCUAUUGUUGUUAUUAAUGUUGAUAAAGGUAGAUGUAAGUAGCCUUUGAAAGUCAUUUUUUCAAAUAUUACGAUUUUACUUUUUCACUUUAUAUUAGAUAUCUAAUAUAUAAAUUAAAUUUAUCCAAUCUAUCGACCUAAUUUUUUGGAUUGAGUGGUGUUUUAUUCUUCUUAACAUUUUAAAAUCAAAUUUGGAAAGAUUCUUUUUUUUUUCCUUUCUAUAAAGGUACAUAAUUGAUAUAAUUCAAUUCUCUAAUAAGUUCUUUUUGUAGCAAUUAGGAUUUGACUAUUUAGUCAUCGUACACUGUACAUUAGAGUGGUACAUAAGUUGGAGGGUUUGAAAACUCGGGUCGGUCAGAUCUAUAACUUAAAUGACUUCAAUAGGAUUUGUAACCUCACCUAACCCAAUCCAACUCUCAUAAUUUUUGGUUAGGUUGGAUGGGAGGAUCAGGUUCUUUAAUUUUUGUCUUUUUUUUUAAUGGACUGUUGCUACCUGAUGAUGAGCCAAUAAGUUUAUGAGUGUUAGAUAUAGAGCGGCACUCAUGAUAGAUGGAGAUAGACGAUGGGUGCUGAGUAACGUAGAGGCACUGUGUCUAGAGACAGAGAGCAAAGGUGAGAGACGAGAGAGACACAAUCAUGUCGAGGCAAGCGGUUGCAAGGAGAAAAUGGAAUUGAAAGUGAAAGGGGAGGUGGAAGACUUGAACCCAACUCAAAUCGAGAACUUAGUUACCCUAGCCCAAUCCAACUCUCGUGUUUUAGGUUGGGUUACUCGAUUUUUUCGUGUUGUCGGGGUUACCUAUCCGACUACACACCUCCCUCUUUUUGCUCUUAUAUUUGGGGUUGAUGUGAAUGGAUUAUUGAGAGAUCAUUGUCCAAUCUGAUUGGCGUCGGUGCAUAAAGAUUUGAAAGGGAUUUUUAAAGGUGAAAAGGCGUGUAGGGAACUCCCAAUAAUACCUAAUCUCAAAGUUCAUAUAUUACAGGAGAGUUGCACUUGUUUGGAAAAUAACAAAAUUUAAAAGUGACAUCAUUUUUAAGUCAUUAUUUUAUAUGCCUAAUUGCAAAAGGGCCUUUGAUCCA
Momordica charantia (bitter melon) is the source of this 3603-nucleotide long non-coding RNA. RefSeq lists it as uncharacterized. Lineage: Eukaryota; Viridiplantae; Streptophyta; Magnoliopsida; Cucurbitales; Cucurbitaceae. The record is from RefSeq and is a predicted model, not a curated record.